GAUGAACGCUGGCGGCGUGCCUAAUACAUGCAAGUCGAGCGAACAGACGAGGAGCUUGCUCCUCUGACGUUAGCGGCGGACGGGUGAGUAACACGUGGAUAACCUACCUAUAAGACUGGGAUAACUUCGGGAAACCGGAGCUAAUACCGGAUAAUAUAUUGAACCGCAUGGUUCAAUAGUGAAAGACGGUUUUGCUGUCACUUAUAGAUGGAUCCGCGCUGCAUUAGCUAGUUGGUAAGGUAACGGCUUACCAAGGCAACGAUGCGUAGCCGACCUGAGAGGGGGAUCGGCCACACUGGAACUGAGAAACGGUCCAGACUCCUAAGGGAGGCAGCAGUAGGGAAUCUGCCGCAAUGGGCGAAAGCCUGACGGAGCAACGCCGCGUGAGUGAUGAAGGUCUUCGGAUCGUAAAACUCUGUUAUUAGGGAAGAACAAAUGUGUAAGUAACUAUGCACGUCUUGACGGUACCUAAUCAGAAAGCCACGGCUAACUACGUG
RNAcentral lists this ribosomal RNA (497 nucleotides) under uncultured bacterium. RNAcentral's name for it is "partial 16S ribosomal RNA". It matches the Rfam family "Bacterial small subunit ribosomal RNA", at positions 28 to 507 of the family's 1533-position model. The record is from RNAcentral.